This is a non-coding RNA of Cyanistes caeruleus (blue tit), 2778 nucleotides long. Lineage: Eukaryota; Metazoa; Chordata; Aves; Passeriformes; Paridae. The record is from RefSeq and is a predicted model, not a curated record.
CCUGGUCACCACAGAAAGCAUCCAAAACUACUUCACUAGAAGAAACACCUUCUUUGUACACUUCUCUUACAGUAUGGACUAAUUUUUUCCAGCCUACUCUUUUUUGUUUCUCUAACUGUAUCACUUCCCUGGCUGCAAUAGUAGGCCUUAGUAGCCCUGACAAAUUGAUUAUGAAGAUAUUUAAUUAUUUGUCUUCUAAAGCUGUAUAAUCUGGAAGCGGUAGCAGGAACAGAGAUUUACAUGGAAGAGAAAAGAAGGUGGAGGCAUUAUUCCCCCAUGAACACUCCAGUAUUGCCAUAACUCACAUGAAACCUCCUCUCUCUGUUCCCCAGCCAGAGCUGCAUCAUGAGCAGCUAACACACUCAUUAUUCUUGGCACAGAAAUAAAUUAGAGAGUUAACCACUGAAUGCUUAGAUCAUUUGGGAAAAUCAGUGAAACAAUCUCUACCUACACAAGCAUAUUCGAGAAGGAUUACAAAUCAUGUACAAUGUUUAUUAUAUCUGCAAAUGCACAAGAUAAUACAGUAGCUGUUGCCCUCAUUAUAUUAAAACCAACAAAUAAAAUGUAAGCUUUGCAAAACCUUUGCUCAUAUAUAUAUAUGCAGGGUCAGCUUUCCCCAUGCAUGGUCACGAAAGGCCCAGAGACAAGGGUGUGAACAAUGAUGCUUCCCUGCAGCAGCACAAGCCCCAUCUUGUACAACCUGCACAACCUGAGAGCCAGGAGAGCAAUAAGGUGAAUGAACCUUCAGAACAUGUCAAUGUCUUGGUACUUUAUAAUUCUACAACACAAGUAAUGAGAUCUUAUCAAAACAUGAUUUAAUGUCAUGACUCGAGCUGGAUGGUGAGCACAGGAACAUUGCUAUUUGAAUUUUAAUUAAAAUUUCAUUAGGUAUCAUAUUACAUUUUAAAAUUAGUAUUUUGCUUCUAAGCCAACAGUUGAUUGUGUAACUGAAGGCUAUCUACAUCACAGCCUUUUCCAUACCACUGCAAAAAUAAUUCCACUGGUCUCAAGAAUAGUCAAGAACGGAGGUCUCUUAGUAUGUAUGUGUUACAUAUGCAGAUCAACUUCCAAGUUGUUUUUUAAUUAAAAUUAUUAUUUGCCAUCUUCCUGCCUGCCUGAAAAGGCAAAUACAGUCCUUACAUGACCCUCCUCCAACUCUCCUUCCCAAAAGAGUGUCAUGUGUCACCAGUGAGGAUGGCCAGUGCCCCACCAAUACACUAUUUAUUGUGCAGCAGUCAGGAACAGAGAAAGGCACAGUCUCAGUGAGAAGUACACCUGGGGACAUCGUGCUCUAUCAGGAUUCUAUUAUUCUCUAGACAGAAUGAAAAAUAGCGCUCUAAAGCACCAGCAUGUUCCCUGGUUUUAAAAAUAUGGUGCUUCUAUUUGGAACUGAAAUUAAUUCAGCCAUGGUAUGCAGUCCUUUAUUAAAAGGCUCUUUGAACGUAAGGAAACAGAGACACUUGAAGAAGUCACGCGUCCGAAGUUGUUUGGGAGUGAUUUCUUGUUCCUUCAGAGUGUGCACUCAGCUGUGGGCUGCACCCCUGAACGAACAGCCCCUCUCACUGCCCGGGGAGGCACCCGAAGACAGCUCUGGGGGUCCCCAGGCUGGAACAGGCAGCUUGCACCCUGAGCCGAGGGGCUCGGCCGAAAGGCUCCCACAGGGGCUGCCGGAGGGCGCGGUGAGCCAGGACAGUGCCCCGGGAGGAGCCCUGGCAGCUCUGACCCGCUCCGGCCGCCCCAGCCUCAGCCCGGCUCCCGGCAGCGCUCCUGCCCUCACACCGGCCCAGCCUCAGCCCGGCUCCCGGCAGCGCUCCUGCCCUCACACCGGCCCCAGCCUCCACCGCAGCCUCACGUCCCGCACCGCCAGCGCUCGCACAAGUGCCCCUGUUGCUGCAGUGUACUGCAAACGAAACAAGUGCACCCUUAUAUAACAUCGUUACAAUUCUAUUGCAGUGCUUCCUCAGAGACAGCAGCGCCUCAGCGACCGAGGCUCGGCCACACUGAGGGACAGGAGGCACCACGCGGCUGGACACCGAGUGCUCUGUAGCUUGCACAAAAAUAGAGGGUCUCUGCAGGGGCAGCCAUUGCACCCAGGAGCAGGAGCAAACCCACCCAGCUGCAGGAGAAAACAAGUGAGCCAUCAGUAACUUGAAGAAAUACCAAAGUGGGGCACCAAAUUCAACGAGCUACUACAGGUGUGGGAACUGCAUGAGUUGAUGUUCUUGAAAUGAUGGAAAACUGAAAACAGAGUUUCUCCAGACCACACUCACUGUUGAGCAUCAGCAAGUCCUGCAGAUACCAUGUCCUGUCAGCUUCUGCAUAGGCUGUGAUCAUUCCACAGGCACUUCCCAGAGCACAGCCCAGCUUGGCACCUCUGAGCAGCACCCAGGGAUGUGCAGAGCCAACAGCUCCCUCCUGCCCAGGAAUGCUGCCAGCCCCGCCUGCUCCUCCCAGCUCCCCAUCACCACCACCUCCAGCCAUUCAGGACCAAGGCUGUUCUGUGGUCCCCAGAAGAAAGAGAACUUAAGCAAGUGCAAAAGGCACACGAGCAGCUAGCACGUGAUCUGUACAAAACACUGUGCCAAAAUACUGCAAUAAGAGGUAGAAGAGGAAGAAAAAGAAAAGAAGCAGCUACUACUCCAUUUAAGGUGACUGAUUAAAGAAAAAAAAUGACAGGUCAUUUUUAAUUCCUUGCUGGCAGUAGCUAGUCUCAUUUCACUGCCUUUAAUUUCUCCUUAGGUCUAUCUGCAAGUUUAAUAAAGUCUUUAUGCAUGCUCA